UACGAAGGGGGCUAGCGUUACUCGGAUUGACUGGGCGUAAAGGGCGCGUAGGCGGUUUGUACAGUCAGACGUGAAAUUCCUGGGCUCAACCUGGGGGCUGCGUUUGAUACGUGCGGACUUGAGUGCGGAAGAGGGUCGUGGAAUUCCCAGUGUAGAGGUGAAAUUCGUAGAUAUUGGGAAGAACACCGGUGGCGAAGGCGGCGACCUGGUCCGAUACUGACGCUGAGGCGCGAAAGCGUGGGGAGCAAACAGG
RNAcentral lists this ribosomal RNA (253 nucleotides) under uncultured bacterium. RNAcentral's name for it is "partial 16S ribosomal RNA". It matches the Rfam family "Bacterial small subunit ribosomal RNA", at positions 524 to 776 of the family's 1533-position model. The record is from RNAcentral.